This 375-nucleotide ribosomal RNA is filed under the name uncultured organism. RNAcentral's name for it is "partial 16S ribosomal RNA". It matches the Rfam family "Bacterial small subunit ribosomal RNA", at positions 527 to 896 of the family's 1533-position model. The record is from RNAcentral.
GUAGGUGGCAAGCGUUGUCCGGGAAUUAUUGGGGCGUAAAGCGCGCGCAGGCGGUUCUUUAAGUCUGAUGUGAAAGCCCACGGGCUCAACCGUGGAGGGUCAUUGGAAACUGGAGAACUUGAGUACAGAAGAGGAAAGCGGAAUUCCACGUGUAGCGGUGAAAUGCGUAGAGAUGUGGAGGAACACCAGUGGCGAAGGCGGCUUUCUGGUCUGUAACUGACGCUGAGGCGCGAAAGCGAGGGGAGCAAACAGGAUUAGAUACCCUGGUAGUCCACGCCGUAAACGAUGAGUGCUAAGUGUUAGGGGGUCUCCGCCCCUUAGUGCUGCAGCUAACGCAUUAAGCACUCCGCCUGGGGAGUACGGCCGCAAAGGCUG